RNAcentral lists this long non-coding RNA (242 nucleotides) under Mytilus galloprovincialis (Mediterranean mussel). The record is from RNAcentral. Lineage: Eukaryota; Metazoa; Mollusca; Bivalvia; Mytilida; Mytilidae.
GGGGUCGGUUCAAAUUUUUCACAUAAUUUUUUUUGUUGGCAACCCCCCCCCAUCAUUCUUAAAAACCAUAUAAUGACCCCUCCUAAGAACAGAGUUUGAAAAGUUUGACCCCCCUCGAAAAAAAAAUUCCAAUCAAUUAACACUUGUGAGAAGGUGAUGACUACCAGCUUCAUUGUAACAGGCUUUGAGAAACCCAGAGUAUAACAAAGAGUUUUUCUUCUUGAUUUUUUUUCUAAAAUAAG